RNAcentral lists this ribosomal RNA (251 nucleotides) under uncultured bacterium. Its description in RNAcentral is "partial 16S ribosomal RNA". It matches the Rfam family "Bacterial small subunit ribosomal RNA", at positions 524 to 773 of the family's 1533-position model. The record is from RNAcentral.
UACGUAGGGUGCGAGCGUUAAUCGGAAUUACUGGGCGUAAAGCGUGCGCAGGCGGUUUUGUAAGUCAGAUGUGAAAGCCCCGGGCUCAACCUGGGAAUGGCAGUGGAAACUAGGGGACUGGAAUCUGGCAGAGGGGGGUGGAAUGGCCGCGUGUAGCAGUGAAAUGCGUAGAGAUGCGGCGGAACACCGAUGGCGAAGGCAGCCCCCUGGGCUGAGAUUGACGCUCAGGCACGAAAGCGUGGGGAGCAAAC